UGCGCGGCUGCUAUGGUCGCCGGGGCAGCGCCGAGGAUUUCGGGCCGUUUCCAGUCCCGACGGCCCCGCGUUGUCCCCGAGGUCCGGAGCGCAGUCACCGCACGCUCAGUGAACGGCCGCCGGGUGGCCGCAGAGCCGCCUCCUGGAACCCCUCGUGGGGCCCUUCGAGCGAUGGGGGUGCUCCAAAAGGGGGGGAAAAACGCAUAAUUCUGCACAAAAGCGCGCGUUUCUGUGUAAAAAAAGCGCAUGUUUCUGUGCCAAAGCGGCCUAUUUCUGUACAAAAUCAGUUUCUGGAGGACAGCAGAGGGCGGCACAGCUCCGCACCCCGCGCUGCUGGAACCCGGCUUCGCUCUGCUCGCUGCUCCCGCGCGGGAUGCGGGGACGUUUCGGGUCCGGCAGCUUUCAGUUCCGAGCGAGAUCGAAAGCUGAGAGGAGAUUCGGUUCCUUUUCCCGUCCCGAGGCUGAAGCGGAGAAAGGAAACUUCGGGCUGGUAAAAAAUACGUCGAGGCUCCCAGCUGCGGAUCGCUGCCCUCCGUCAGCGGGCCGGGCGGUGCUGCGGACACUGGGCCGCGGGGCGCCCCGCCGUGCGCCGCGCACGGAGCUCGUGGUCGCAGCGUGUCUACGAGAUGUGUGCAAGUUUGGGUGCGAGGGAAAGGCUCUGCCUCAGCGGGCACGGCGCAGCUCCGCAGCGUUAGGACGGCGCUCAGCCAUAGGAGGUGCAGGACACGGAUGGACCUGACGGCUCUUGGCUGGAUGAAGGCACCAGCAGGAGGGAAAGCUGCAGCGCAGGCACAGCGAUGGCGGAUGGGAUCACCAGCGGCAGACGGAAACGCCGCGGCUAUCGGCGCUCCGAGCAGCGCCGGACCAACUCGGCCCUUUUCUAAGAAACGCCGCAGCAGUUGUGAGCGUUUACGGGAAGGGUGGGCUGUGCUCAACCCGGGCAGCCGCGAUAGUGCAGGGGGAGGAUGCGGCGCGGGGGCUCUGCGCUGCUCUGCUUUCGUGUAAGAGCUGCUUCCCGGAUGGUCCGGAGGAAAAGCGAGAGGGGAGGUUCAGCGCAAACCGCAUCUCUAAAUGGGGCUGAACUUUGAAGGCAUUCGGAGCAGUGCUUCCUGCUCUGAGCGGCCUCAAGGAGGAGAUGAAAGAUGCAGCUGAGCAGGGAAAAAAAAAGCUAAACAAACGGAGUUGACGCUUUGUGCAGAGGGGCAGCAGUGACACAACACGUGAGUGCAUCCAGAGCUGGGACAGAGCUCUAGGGACCCCGGUUCCCAAAAAGCAGCUGUACUUAGAGAAGAGAGCACAGGGAACGGGGUAGGAACGCUGUUUUUAAGCAUAAAACGUGUGGCAUAAACCAAGGAGUGACCCAAUUGGGUUGAGCUGGGGGUCUUGCAAAGUAGCUUGCAGACUGCUCAGUGCCCUGUGGCAGGAGCAGGCACAAUGGGUGAUGGGUGUCCUCCAAAAGCAGCACGGUGCCAACAGCUCCGUAGUACCCGAGUGCCAACAUUCUCAUGACAUCAAAUGAAACAAAACAAAACCUGACCAACAGCCCCGCAGCCAAAGCGUUGCAGAGCUGGGAAGUGGGGUUUGGCAGCUCAGAAAGUGUAACACAAGCGAAGCGUCACUGCUGCCGACCAACAGUAACCGACUUCCCGUAAACUGGCCACGAGCCUCCUCUGGGGCUGGAGGUGGGGGCAGCACGGCAGCUGCCUGCACCCUGUGCAACACCAACAGCACCCACACAACACCAACACCCACCGCGCCAACAGAGCCGGAGCAACAGGCUCGGCAGUGCCCGAAUGUAAUUGGGCUGACAACAUCCGGUGUUUCGCAAGCUGGCUUUGAUGUCUGUUUACUCCCCAUCCCCAGCACAUGCUCCUCAGCGCCCUGCAGCAGACAGGAGGGCUCUGCACUGCUUUGAUCUCUCCCAGACCUGCGGGGAAUGGUUGGGCUGAAGACACCCCGAGGCUGUGCUGUCCCACGGGGCCCUGGGCUGGAGCCUUUGGGGCUGGGCUGUGUCCUGCUCUCACCUCUGUUGGGAUGCUGCAGCCCCGUGGGGGGUCAGCACCCCACUUGCUCCCACUUCUCUCCAUCCCACCCCGCAAUAAUAAAGGGAUGCCUCUGUUCCACGAUUUUCUUUUUAUUUAAAACCGCAUUGUAUAAAAAAAAUAGGAUUUCUGAAUUCCCCUGUACAAUUUUAACUAUUAACAAAAACCCGCCAGCGACACACAGGUUGCAUGGAGACAACAGCGCUCUCUGCCAGCUCAGCCCAAAGAGUGCAUGGGCACACAGCCCCCCCCCGCCCCAAAAACCCCAAAUCCAUCCGUGAUGUGGGACAGACACAUGGACACAGAGCGAAAUCCGACCAGGCACCGGGGCUCAGCAGCUGCAGAAGCAAGGCGUGGGUCGGGGACCCACGUGGGUUAUAAAUAAAUAAAUAAGUUAUCCUCCUG
Molecule: long non-coding RNA, 2447 nt
Organism: Tympanuchus pallidicinctus (lesser prairie-chicken)
Lineage: Eukaryota; Metazoa; Chordata; Aves; Galliformes; Phasianidae
Exons: 2
Source: RefSeq, a predicted model, not a curated record